UACGAAGGGACCUAGCGUAGUUCGGAAUUACUGGGCUUAAAGAGCUCGUAGGUGGUUAGAAAAGUUGAUGGUGAAAGCCCAAGGCUUAACCUUGGAACUGCCAUCAAAACUUUUUAACUAGAGUAUGAUAGAGGAAAGUGGAAUUUCUAGUGUAGAGGUGAAAUUCGUAGAUAUUAGAAAGAACACCAAUUGCGAAGGCAACUUUCUGGAUCAUUACUGACACUGAGGAGCGAAAGCAUGGGUAGCGAAGAGG
Molecule: ribosomal RNA, 253 nt
Filed under: uncultured Pelagibacterales bacterium
Lineage: Bacteria; Pseudomonadati; Pseudomonadota; Alphaproteobacteria; Candidatus Pelagibacterales
Description: partial 16S ribosomal RNA
Rfam family: Bacterial small subunit ribosomal RNA
Source: RNAcentral